GGGCCCAUAGCUCAGCUGGUUAGAGCACCUGACUCAUAAUCAGGGUGUCCUAGGUUCAAAUCCUAGUGGGCCCA
RNAcentral lists this transfer RNA (74 nucleotides) under bacterium. Its description in RNAcentral is "tRNA-Ile". It matches the Rfam family "tRNA". Rfam says of the family: Transfer RNA (tRNA) molecules are approximately 80 nucleotides in length. RNAcentral also lists the same sequence under 1 other name. The record is from RNAcentral.